RNAcentral lists this ribosomal RNA (345 nucleotides) under Triticum aestivum (bread wheat). RNAcentral's name for it is "partial small subunit ribosomal RNA". The record is from RNAcentral. Lineage: Eukaryota; Viridiplantae; Streptophyta; Magnoliopsida; Poales; Poaceae.
AUGAACGCCACCACAGAGAUGAUGCAAUCGAUCAUAGAUGGCAAAAAACCCUACUGGUUGGAAGAAGCAGGGGUGGCAGAGAGAAGAGGAGAAGAAAAACACACCGUAGCUGGCGUUGAGCCGCUGUCUGUUAUUAUCGAUCUCCUUCCUGUGGUCACGGUGGCUAUGGCAUCGAGGCAGAUAGAAGAUGAGAAGGGGGAGACGGAAGGGGUUCGCUCCAGCUACUCUUUACUUUCGACAAUUUUGCACAUAGCCCACUGUCAAAGCUAUCUCUCGCAGAUGCGGUCCAGCCUUAGCCAGCCAUGUGCGCAGGAUCAGGCCCGGCGAAGCAUUUUUUUGGCCUGA